RNAcentral lists this long non-coding RNA (10968 nucleotides) under Eucalyptus grandis. RNAcentral's name for it is "long non-coding RNA (EGRA_LNC001504)". The record is from RNAcentral. Lineage: Eukaryota; Viridiplantae; Streptophyta; Magnoliopsida; Myrtales; Myrtaceae.
CGGACCUUGCGGGGAUGGUCACCGUCGUCGCAGUCCGAGGAGGCGGUCUCGUGGUAGGCGGCGGCAGCGGUGGAGGCGUGGCCAUCAUGGAAGCAGGAGGCUCGGGGAGGAGGAUGAUCUGAGCUUGUGAUGGAACAACAUUUGGACGGCGAGAGCGACGGGACUCGGAAUCUUGGUCUGGUCUGGUCUGGUCCGGUCCCUGGUCUGCGCAAGAGUGUGAAGAGAGUGAAGAGAGGGAUGGCGAUGAUGAGGAAGACGAUGGAGAAGGGGAUGAGGCGGAGGGUCUAUUUAUGGGGUGGACGGAUGAGGACGGGGGCGUGUGGCGGCAAAGCAGAGUGGCAGGGUGGUGGUGAGGGCGGGAGUGAGGAUGAGGAAAACCGCGGGUGGAUCGUGGUGGGCAAGUGGGAAGCGGUUUUUUUGGCGUUAAUCCUGCGUGAGGUUUCCUUCUUACUUUUCCUGAACUUCAUUGUUGGGCAGUUUGGUAAUUCCACGGAAGUCGAGGGACCACGUAGCUGCUCCUCCUUUCUUUUAUUUUUAAUAUUUAUCUUUUGUUUUAGGAUAGUUGAAAUUUUUAACUUCUGAGAUAGUUGGAAUUUAAAUGACUCUUUUAUGGGUUUUCUUACACGACCAUAUAUAUAAUAAAUUGCGAGAGUAAAGGCCAAGAACGGAAUCACCAGUUCAAAGUCAUGACUUCUCACUUUAGAGUACAUUUAUUUUACGGAAAAAAUCCACAUUUUGAGAAUAUUUUCUUAAUUUUAACCAUUGUUAAUCGCUUACAAAAAUCAUUCAAUGAAAAGUAUUUCUAUUCUUAACAACAAUUUAUACCUAGACAUUUUUGCUGAUUAUACUAUUUUUCAUUGUCACUUUUUCUAAGUGAUGUAAAAAAUCAAAAUUAAAAAAUAUUUUUUAAAUCAUUGAUUUUUCGUGAAAUAAAUUGAGCAUUAAUCUCCUAAAGCAACUGCAAGGCAGAAAAGAUGAUUUAUAUGAAGAUGGAGAAUCCAUAAUCUUGGGAAUUUGAUGGACACAAUUAGAUCUAGAGAGAAAAUCAAUAAGAUUUGAAAUGUCGCAAACUAAACUAGUAUAACUUGGAGGCAAGACAACAUAAGAGAGGGGAUUAAUUGGGAUGUUUGAUUUUCAUGUGAUAUCGAAUCAAAUAUCCAAAGGUUCAAAUCCCUCUAUUGCCUCCCACAUUGCCAUCACUUUUCAUUUUCUUUCAAUGUCCAGCCGAAUACUAGCUUUGCUGCUCCCUGCUUGGCCCGAGGCAGCUUCACUCAUAUCUCAAGAUAAUAGAUGAGAGGCUCUAAAUAAAGCAAAUUUCAACAUUAAAAGCAAUAAAGCACAAAUUGUAACGGCGAGCGCACUCUCAUUUUACAAAAACAAACAUGCCUCGAGCAUCAAAACAGAACGAAUGGCACUCGAUAAAUAAAGUCAGUAAGAACGAAUCAUUAAUUCCCUACUUGCCCUUGCGCUGAUCUCCACUUACCUCUUCAUGUGACACUAAGCUCUUCACUUCCAAUGGUGGUUUCAUCGAUCACUAAUUAAAAACGAUUGGGGGGAGCCAUGCAUCAUGCUUGGUUUGGAUUCUUGUCAUUGACAAGCCGAGCGCCUCCCGUGACUCCUGGGCUCGUGCUAUUCUCAAAGUGCAAGUCUCGCAUAUGAGAGCGCUCCACGUCAGUGGAGAUUGGAGUGAGCAUCUGAGGGAGAAUGGGCUCAUGCACCCAGCCAUUGAGUGCCCGCCACCGGACGCUUCCUUGCUCAACAAUUUGGGAUAGAUAAUAGGGGAAACAUGGUGUUUUGUCUCUAGGGGAGUAUUCGAGUCGGAUCUGGUCGACACAAUGCCCUCGAGAGCUCGGUUUGACUUGAUUUGGAUGGUCGAUACUCAAAACUCAACUUGAGCUUGAUUGAGUAUUAAAAUUGAUGCAUGAGUUCAAUUCGACUAGAAAAAUUGAGAUAUUGGAACUCUAGUAAAUAAAUAGUAAACUUCACUUUCAUAGAUCAAAUAUAAUUAGCGAAAGAGUCUAAAUAUAAUAGCCCGAUGAUAUAAGAUGCUUUUUGUACAAAAGCACGCUUUUCAUAUGCACAAAAAAGUCAAUUUUCGGAAAAUAUUGACAAUACACAUAAUAAUUAAGAGAUCCGAAGUCAUUCCUCAUGUCAUAGGCUAUGGCCACUUCUUGCCGGUGACAAAAAACAUAAAAAUUAUAUUAGUCAUGAAUAUAAGUUAUUCAUAUAACAAUUCAGCCAAUCAUUUUAUAUAAAAAUAUGUUUAUGAAUCAUUUUGAUAUGUUUAGUACCCGGCCAUGUAUAGCCCACUGCCUAUCCCUAUCCAUAGGAAAAGGCAGUUACAUCCAUAAAGUGAAUUCAUUCAUCCAAGACAUAAUCUACUUCUUGUCGGCUCCCCUUUCAUUGACGCAAGGCUGAUCAACAAAAAUGCUCAAACACGAAACACUUUAGGCAAAAAGCGAAAGCCAAAUGGAGACGACGAUGACAAAUGGACGCAGAUUUUCCAUAAAUUUGAUAUCUCAAAAUCUACAAUAUGUAUAGUAAGAUACUGUCGACCCUGAUAGUCAAACUUGUCGAUCAAAAUCAAAAGAACUAGAGGAGAAAACUUCAACUACAUGCUACAACUCCCCCACCCACCCCGGCAACUUUGCUAACGGCAACUGAUCCGGAGACACGGCCUGGAGGCGCGAUGGAGUCGGAGUCUUAGUCUGGUCUGGUUUGUGCGAGACUGUGAAGAGAGUGAAGAGAGUGAAUGGUGGUGAGGAAGAAGAUCGAGAAGAGGCUGAGGUGGCACGUUUUAAUAGGGUGGACGGAUAAGGACGCGGCUGGGAGGCGGCGGCGAGCAGCAGAGCAGAGCAGUGGGUAGCGGUUUUUUGCGUUAAUCCUGCGUGAGGUUUCGAUCUUACCUUUCUUAACUUUAUCGUUGGGCAGUUUGGUAAUUAAGCAAAAAUAGAGGGACCGGAGAGCUGCUGCUUUUAUCUUCUUUUCGGUUUUACAAAAGUAGAAUUAGAUUAACAUUUUUAUGGGUCAUCAUAUGACAACGUAAAUAUGGAGACCACCAGAUCCGGGGGUUUUAAAGGUCAAUAUCGAUGGAUCUUAUCAACUGGGAAGCAAGGAAGGGACUAUGGCUUGUGUGUAUCGUGAUUCACAUGGACAACUUACUGGUGGCUUCUCAGAUAGCUUUGCUGCCUUCUCGGCUCUGCAAGCGGAGAUCCACGCUUGCUUGCUUGCUCUCCGUCAUUUGAUUGAUCAAGACCUCUCUCAUGCUGCGCUGACUCUUGAAUCGGAUUGCCAGACCUUCAUUGAGACACUAAAGGGUUAGCGCUCGCCGCCAUGGCAAGAACAAAGCCUCUUCUCCGAAGCUGCCUUCCUGCUUUCAUUUUUUCCCAACAUUUCCCUAGCCUUCUGUCGUCGUGAGGCGAAUGUUGCUGCUGACUGGGCUGCGAAGGCCCAUAGGGUUAAUUCCAAGCGAAGUAACUGGGUUGUUUUUCCCCCUCCCCCUCUUUUAGAUCUUAUUUACGUUGAUGUGAUAGCUGCUGCUUGUAAUUGGUUUGGUCCAUAUAUAUAAUAGGUUCUGUUUGACAAAAAAAAAAAAAUAGGGAGAGAGAAGGGAGGGAGAGUAAAGGCUAAGAACAGAGAUGUGACUUGAAAGUCGAGACUCGUGACCUUAGUCUAAGUGAAGCAGCUACAAUGGGAAAAAUAUAAUUAUAUGAAAUAUCAGAAUUGAUAAACCUUGAAAUGUGAUGGACAUGAUUAAGUUCUAGGAAGAAAAUCAAACGGGAUGUAACGAUAUUCCAUGAUCGCAUGGUGGCAUUUUAAUUUCCAGUCAUAUUUUCAUCGAUUUACACGAGAAUUUAGAUAUCAUUGGAUAUACUAAAUAAGUAUAUCUUCGAGGCAAGGCCGUAGAAGAGAGAGGAUUGGGAUGUUCAUUUUUUAUUUUUUUUUACAUGAUAUCAAAAUACAAUAGCCGAACGUUCGAAUCUCUCUAUUACCUCCCACAUUCUAAUCCACUUCUUCAUUUUAUGUCUAGUUGAUUUAAACAGUUAUGUGGAGUCUGGCCAGCUUUUAUGCAUUUCAAUCAGUCACUCCUCUAUGUCAGCAUGGUGCAUUUAUGAUUAUACUCUGUUUUCUGAACAAAACAUGAGCGCGAAAGCAUAACAAGAGGAGCAAACCACCUUACUAUUUAAGUCAACACUUAAUUGGCCUGUCAAUGCAUUUCUUAAACACAGGCAAAAGUGAUCCUAAGCUUGAGAAAGCGGGUUACAUAAAUCUGGCCAACAUAGGUAAAUAGUUCAAUUGGGGGUUCAAUCUGAGUUACUCCGAUAAUUAAAGUUAGCAAGAACGAAUCAUUUUGAUCCCUUCAUGCCACUGCACUAAUCUCCGCUUGUCUCACGCACGUGGGGACUAGCUUCUUCGCUGCUCUGUCCCGCGACGAGCUAGCUGCAUUUGCGAUGCCAUAGCUUCUGUCCCGACGUUGCUGCUCCCUCCAUGGACCGACGCAGCUUCACCGUGACGAGUAUUGGCUCUACUGAGCACCUGCACGACCACCACGAUCUGUCCUGGUGCUACCUGCCCACGCUGAUCGCCAUCAGAUCCGCCGCCUCUUCUUACCACACUGCUGACAAGCCGUGAGCCUCCAAUGACGGUCCUUGCUAUGAGCCUUCAGUGACGGACCACCACGUGAACCGUUGCGGCUUCUCGCUCAACAACGGUGUUGUCCUCCAAUUUGCCGCCCACCUGUUACCGCCAUCCGUUGCACCUCCAACGCCACCCACCCAACAGCAAUUGCCUGUCUUAUCACCUUAUGAAAGAACGAAUGCUAGGCACGCUUCAGUCCCGACGGCCACCUUCUAUUAACAGCCUCCGUGAAUUCUCUUUUCCUGCAGGUUUCCAUCGCCGGCGACCAUCCAAUGACGCCAGCAUCUCCUGCACUUGUCCUGUGUCCACCGCAGUGAGCCAGGAAAAAAAUAAGUGAUCUUGAACAGGGUGGAAGGAAAGUCAAGCGGUGGCCAAAGUGGAGAAAAAGAAAAAUUGGAACGGAGAAGAUUCGUUCCGUCAUUUGCAAACGAUAUCAAAGCCCACACUUUCCAGAAUACAGGAUCCAGAGAAGACAAAUAAAGGGGGAAAUUCUGGAAAUUCGCUCCUCGGGUAUCCGUUCUUCGCGUUUUCUCUCGAGUUACCACCGAGCAGAGCCGUGUCACUAAUUGCCCCCGAACCACCGCCGCAGCCGGCCAUCCUUUGCCUAGAAGCACCACCACCAUGAGUAGUCUUGCUGCGAGCCUCAUCCGCCAGCCACCGUUGGUCAUCUGUCGAGUCCGAAUUUGGAUUGUGCGCUUCAAAUUAGUUAAUGUUCUAAUCCGAUUUGAUUUGAAUGUUUAAUUGCAAAUUUCAGAUUGAUUUCCUUAUAUAAUUGUGAUAUUCGAGAUUUUAGGCAUUACGCCAUAAGAUUUUUAAGUUUAUUGCAAUCCUCCUGUGCGCGAGAUAAUUCUAAUCCAGAUUAGACGAUCUCUCCGAGCUCUGCUGGUACUGAACCCGGCCAGCUUCUUCAAGCUUUGAAUUUCAGCUUUAGCUUUGGAACUUCUACCACCGCUACUAUUCUGCUCCUGGAACUGUUCCAAGCUUCGCCAUCCUCUUCCUUCUGCAGAGCCAAACAUGUCGUGGAACCGUUUCAAGCUUCUUCCUGCCCGUGUCAUGGAAUCGGACUCUUCCGUGAAAGCUCCAUUCCUUUUCAGUGGAUUGGAAGCAGGCCCUCCAGAGUCCUCACUGAAAUCUUCCGGAUAAAAAAGUGACUGCCCCGGUGAAUAACAUUUCGGGUGUCCGAUGAUCAGACUCAGCAGCAGGCGAAUCAUCUGAGAGCAUCAGCGGGACCUGGUUCGGGAACGCUUCAGCAGCCAUAAUCAGCAACCAAACAAAAUAUAAGAAAGGAGAAAAAUGCAAAAUCUUAACUUGGUACCAGCCACCCGCAGCACUAUGGAAUAUAAUAUAGCAUACCAACACCAUUCCAAAGACCAAGCUCUUCCUAUGGGGUGCAUGUCAAAGUGCUAUGCCAGCAAAAGAGGACCUUUUCAAGAGGAGCAUUGUUGCUGAGCCUACCUGAGAUUUAUGCCAUUUAGAACCUGAAACUGCUGAACACGUUCUUCUCUUCUCUUCUGUCCACUGACCAAAACGGGAGUGUGGGAGGACCCGACCCUGAAAAUAAAAAAUUACAAGCGACCACAUUGUGAUAUCAGCUAAUUUAACAAGCCCGAUGAUUUUUUCGGAUAUUAUAAUCUUUUAUUUGAAUUUUGAUGGAUAUCCUAGAUGAUUUUUGCUAUGUUUGAAUUUUUUAUUAGAUCAGGUUAGGUUGAAAAAUGAUUUGACCCAAAGUGACCUAUUUAAAUUUUUUUGACUAAUUUCCAUACAUUAAAAACACUUCUAUAGUUAAUCCAAUCUAGAAAAACUCGUACUUAAACUAAGAUGAGAACAUGGAGCGAGCGAGCGCGAGAUCAAGUAAAGACAAGAAAGUGAAGAGAGAAUCAUAGAGGUGGAUUGAGUUUAAAUAGGUCGUGAACUAAUAUUACACUAUAAAUCUUAUCAUUCUAAACUCAUUCAUGAAUAUAACUAACCUAUAUUACAACUCAACCCAUCAAAUAUAGGUUAAAAAAUAGGUUUAUGAUCCAUUUUGAUAGAUCUAAUCAAGAUGGUGAUCACUUUGAAGAUAACCGUCACCCCUAUUCCUUUCUCAAUUGGAUUCUCUCUCCUACUUGGAUAUGAGAAAUUUUAUCUGACCCAACACUAUAACUUUUAUUUUAGUCUAUAUUCAUGUUAAGUCUGCAUUUAUCAUGGUGUGAUAAUUAAGGACUUGAUGCAAUCAUUUAUAUUUUCUAGUCAAAUAAAGUCUUAUUCUUUAUGUGUCCAAAUAAUCAACAAAAUCAAAAUAGAAAUUUCAUGCCCGUUGCUUUUGACUUUCACUUUGUAAUUCCUUCCAAUCACAAGGGCCCGACCAUUGGACUUGACCUCCAAGGCCAAACCCAAAAGAAAAAUUGUUGGACCUAAGUAGGCCCAUUAGGCAUGGGCUUAACCAAGCCUAAACCAAAAAUAUGCAACACAGCCUGUCAUUUCACAGGGCUAUGCUUGGGUAUGGGCUGAACAGCUAGACUUGCCCCCAAAGGCCCAAUCCCAAAAAAAAAAAAAAAAUUGUUUGACCUAGAUGGGCCCAUGAGUCUGAUCAAGCCUAGGCACAACAUGUGACACAACCCACCAUCUAAUGGGCAGUGCCCUAGCAUGGACACAGCCUAUUACCGAUCCCUAUCCAUAAGAAAAUAAGUUGGAUCCAUGUAAAUUCAUUCAUUCAUAACAAAUUUUACUUCCUAUCCCUUCGCGUUUCAUUAACACUACUAAUCAACAAAAAUGCUUGAACACGAACACUCUAGACCAAAAGACGAUGAUGACAUGUCGAAGUAGAUUUUCCAUGAAUUUGAGAUCUCGAAAUUUGUAAUAUGUAUGGACGUUGUGGAUCACUCCAAGGACUAUGAUAAUCCAAUUCGUUGAUCAAAAUCAAUAAUAUCCUUAUUGAAGAAAACUUUAGCUACACGUUACGACUUCUCUCAGCAUUUGAUAGCAACCAAUCUAGAGACACUGGCAGCAUUGCUGUGAAGUUCCUCGCUGGGGACUCCUCGUUCGCCUCCCAACCUCGAUCGCCCUCAAAGUUGAGCGCAUAGCUCAUCAUAUCAUACCCAAACUCUGAGGUCGCGAUGUGGCCUUGCUUUCGACACCUCUUGAUCCAAGUGAUGAGGCUCUAGAGCUUGUGUUGGAUCUCCGACAGUGGAAGCUCCCGGGCCAUGGAAUGGAGCCAUAAGCAAGGCGACCGGGUUGCCCCACGGUAGCUGCCAUCACUGUCACCGUCGUUGCUGUAGUCUGAGGGGGCGGCCUCAUGGUGGACAGUGGCGUCCUGAAAGCAACAGAAGAGGAGACGCGGGGAGGAUGAUUUGAGCUCGUGAUUGAACAACAUUGGGCUGUGUGGAGAGAGAGAGAGAGAGAGGGGAGAGAGAGGGAGUGGGGGGGGGGGAGGAUGAGGUGGCGGGUUUUUAUAGGGUGGACAGGAUAAAGGAGGAAGGGCAAAGUGGGAGGACAUGGAGUUUUGAGUUAAUCCCUCCCUGAUGUUUUGUCUUGUUUUUCCCUAAUUGCAUUUUUUUUUAUGUAAUUUGGUAACUAAGCAAAAGUUGAGGGAUCAUGUAGCUGCUCCUUUUUCCUUUUCUACAAGGCGUUGUUUCCUCCCCUUAAAUGUUUGAGUCUAACCAAUUGCUAUUAGAAAUACAAAAAUCGCCCCUAAUCAUUCAAUUACAUUUUAUAAGUGGUGACACCCAAAUUUUGCUUUCCUUUCCUUUUAACUUUGCUGUUUUUAUGUAGGAUUUUGUUACCAUAGAAACAAAGUUUCAAUGUAUAUUAAGGGGCACGCUUUUUUUAAUUGUUAGAUUUUAUUUCCAUAAAAAUUAGUUUUGUCGAAAAGAGAAAUCCCUAAAAAAAAUCUUUUUCUUUUCUAUGUUGUUGCUCAAAUUUAUGGAUAAAUUGUCGAGUAAAAUCUAGAAAUAAAUUAAGGGUGGCAUUAUUUUCACCCUCUAAAUGACUAAACCCACCUACACUAAAAAGAAAAAAUUGUCCUCAAUUUUACAAUUGCAGUUUUAGAUGAUAGCCCGACUCCUUCUUUUUUUUUAUUUUUUUCUUUUUCUAUCUUGGAUAGUUGCCAUAAUUAAAAAUUUCACAUGUUUUGUUUUUUAGCUUAGAAAUUUUUAUAUUGUUUUACAUGCUCCAUGUAAAAUUAUCUUGCUAAUGGUAAGGGAAAAAAAAAAGCAUUAUUUGAUAUAGUAUAAAAUUGAAAAGUCUCUUCUUCAUUAUUGAUCUUACAACAACUUAUCUAUUUUUUGUUCCUUUUAUAUCAAAAACUCACUUUCUUGAAGAGCUUUUUAUUAGUCUCAUUAGUAUAAAAAUAUAUAUCAACUCUCUUUAUUUACUAUAUCAAAGUACUUAUAUUUUUUCCUGACUAUAUUGGUGAGAUACCCUUAUAUAUAGCAUGUAAGGAGUUAGAGAUAUAUCUAAAAAAACACUAAAUACCUUAUGCACAAUGAGGCAUCUUAAUAAUUUUUCAUAAACAGUUUAUUGAUGAUAUUAAUUUUUCUCAAUCCAAAAUAAAGAAAUUUCACUGGUAUUUUCAAAAAAAAAAAAAAAUCUUACUUUAUGCAAUUAAUUUUUUUACUUAACAAUUUAUCCACAAAUUUAAUUGAAAAUUAAAAAAAAAUAGAUUUGUCGGAAAUUUCUCUUUUUGACAAAAUAAAUUUUUUAUUGAAGUAAUAUCUAACAAUAAAAGAAGACAUAGUGCCUUUAAUAUACAUGGAAAAUCUACAAUAAACAAAAUUAAACAUAUUCAAUUCUUAAUUAUGGUAGGUAGAUCCUCCAUAAGUAUAGAAAAACUUGCAAUUAAAUGAUAGAAGGUAAUUUUGUAUUUUUGGUGAAAAUUGGGUGAAUUUAAUCACACAACACACAUAUAGUGGAAUGAUCAGAUGAAGCCAUAAAAUAUAUAUAUAUAUAUAUAUAUAUAUAUAUAUAUAUAUAUAUUUGUUGAUUUUCCAAAAUAAAAUCGCAAUUACAUUCUCUAACAUAAAACAUGUCGGGCCAAUAUACAAUUCACAAAAUAAACCAGACUAGGGACAUGUUUGCUAAUCUUUCUGUUUUCAAGCGUAAUUUCAUUUCAAAAUCUAUUUCCUAUACGAGUUUCUAAGUAUGACAACGCAUUUGUUAACUACACAAUAUUUCCCUUCUCAAAAAAAAAAAAGAAUAGAAAUGCAUUUACUAUAACCCUAAAUUCUCUUCCCAUUUUUUUUUCAUUUUAUUAUAAAAAUUAUCAGUAGACACUUAAUGAUUCAUGUUUGAAUAAAUAUUUGUCGAGCCUAGGCUGGCCCAUUAGGACCCAUGGCCCUGACCUGGCCUAGGCACAAAACAGACACGGUCUGCCACCUUAACGGGCUGUGCCCUGGCUCAAGCCCAGGCAUGCCGUACCUGGGUCAGUGUGGCCCAGUACCAAUCCCUAUCCACAAGAAAAGAAGAUGCAUCCGCUUUGUCCAUAAAGUAAGUCCCAUUCAUCCAACAAUAACAAUAAAAUUUCUUCUUGUUUGUUCGUGUUUCAAUUUUUUAUUUUUAUUUUCUUAAGUCGAAAGUUCGCAUUUCGAUGACGCAUCGCCAAUCAGCAAAAUUCUCGACCGGGGAUCAACAAUCCAGACAAAAGGCGAAAGCAAAGCGGAGAAGACGAAAACAUAUCGAAGCAGAUCUUUCAUAAAAUUGAGAUCUGGAAGUUCUACAAAUAUGUACAGACACUGCGAAUUGCUCUAGAGACUGUUGAUAUAAGCCCAACUUAGUGGAUCAAAAUUCCAGAGGAAAACAACUUCAACAACAAGCUACGACUUCCCUCGGUAACCUCGACGGCAUCAACCGAUCUGGAGACACCGGCAGCCGCGCUGAGAAGUUCCUCAUUGAGAACUCCUCGUCUGACUCCCAGCUCCGAUCGUCCUCGAAGUUUAGCGCGUAGCUCAUCGGGUCAUACCCGAACUCCGAGGAGGCCGCCGCCGCCGCGUGGCCCGGCCUCCACCGGCACCUCCCGAUCCGAGCGAUGAGGCUGCGGCACCUGUACCGGAUCUCCGGCAGGAGGAGCUCCUGGGCCGUCGAGCGGACCUUGCGGGGGUGGCCGUCGUCACAGUCCGAGGAGGUGGCCUCGUGGUAGGCAGCGGCAUGGCCACCGUCGUGGAAGCAGGAGAAGAGGAGGGACGGGGAGGAUGAUCUGAGCUUGUGAUGGAAGAGCAUUUCGACGGCGAGAGCGAUGGGACUCGGAUUCUUGGUCUGGUUUGUGCAAGGCCGUGAAGAGAGCGGAGAGAGUGGAUGGAGAUGAGGAAGAAGAUGGAGAAGAGGAUAAGGUGGAGGGUUUAUUUAUAGGUCGGGCGG